Molecule: ribosomal RNA, 460 nt
Filed under: uncultured bacterium
Lineage: Bacteria
Description: partial 16S ribosomal RNA
Rfam family: Bacterial small subunit ribosomal RNA
Source: RNAcentral
CCUACGGGUGGCAGCAGUGAGGAAUAUUGGUCAAUGGACGGAAGUCUGAACCAGCCAUGCCGCGUGCAGGAAGACGGCUCUAUGAGUUGUAAACUGCUUUUGUACAAGGGUAAACCUGAAUACGUGUAUUCAGCUGAAAGUACUGUACGAAUAAGGAUCGGCUAACUCCGUGCCAGCAGCCGCGGUAAUACGGAGGAUCCAAGCGUUAUCCGGAUUUAUUGGGUUUAAAGGGUGCGUAGGCGGAUUGAUAAGUUAGAGGUGAAAUGUCCGAGCUUAACUCGGGAACUGCCUCUAAUACUGUUGGUCUAGAGAGUAGAUGCGGUAGGCGGAAUGUGUGGUGUAGCGGUGAAAUGCUUAGAGAUCAUACAGAACACCGAUUGCGAAGGCAGCUUACCAAUCUAUAUCUGACGUUGAGGCACGAAAGCGUGGGGAGCAAACAGGAUUAGAUACCCCGGUAGUC